CCUACGGGUGGCAGCAGUGAGGAAUAUUAGUCAAUGGGCGCAAGCCUGAACCAGCCAAGUCGCGUGAGGGAUGACGGUCCUAUGGAUUGUAAACCUCUUUUGUCGGGGAGCAAGGACCGGCACGUGUCGCGGGAAGGAGAGUACCCGAAGAAAAAGCAUCGGCUAACUCCGUGCCAGCAGCCGCGGUAAUACGGGGGAUGCGAGCGUUAUCCGGAUUAAUUGGGUUUAAAGGGUGCGUAGGCGGAAGGUUAAGUCAGCGGUAAAAUGGCGGGGCUCAACACCUGCCUGCCGUUGAAACUGGUCUUCUUGAGUGAGCGAGAAGUAUGCGGAAUGCGUGGUGUAGCGGUGAAAUGCAUAGAUAUCACGCAGAACUCCGAUUGCGAAGGCAGCAUACCGGCGCUCAACUGACGCUGAUGCACGAAAGCGUGGGUAUCGAACAGGAUUAGAUACCCUUGUAGUC
RNAcentral lists this ribosomal RNA (460 nucleotides) under uncultured bacterium. RNAcentral describes it as "partial 16S ribosomal RNA". It matches the Rfam family "Bacterial small subunit ribosomal RNA", at positions 338 to 795 of the family's 1533-position model. The record is from RNAcentral.